Molecule: ribosomal RNA, 364 nt
Filed under: Ligilactobacillus salivarius
Lineage: Bacteria; Bacillati; Bacillota; Bacilli; Lactobacillales; Lactobacillaceae
Description: bacterial SSU rRNA
Rfam family: Bacterial small subunit ribosomal RNA
Source: RNAcentral
CUGCUAUCGCUUUUAGAUGGACCCGCGGCGUAUUAACUAGUUGGUGGGGUAACGGCCUACCAAGGUGAUGAUACGUAGCCGAACUGAGAGGUUGAUCGGCCACAUUGGGACUGAGACACGGCCCAAACUCCUACGGGAGGCAGCAGUAGGGAAUCUUCCACAAUGGACGCAAGUCUGAUGGAGCAACGCCGCGUGAGUGAAGAAGGUCUUCSGAUCGUAAAACUCUGUUGGUAGARAARAACACGAGUGAGAGUAACUGUUCAUUCGAUGACGGUAUCUAACCMGCMAGUCMCGGCUAACUACGUGCCAGCAGCCGCGGUAAUACGUAGGUGGCAAGCGUUGUCCGGAUUUAUUGGGCGUAAAG